This 504-nucleotide ribosomal RNA is filed under the name uncultured bacterium. RNAcentral's name for it is "partial 16S ribosomal RNA". It matches the Rfam family "Bacterial small subunit ribosomal RNA", at positions 29 to 523 of the family's 1533-position model. The record is from RNAcentral.
AUUGAACGCUGGCGGCAGGCCUAACACAUGCAAGUCGAACGGUAGCACAGAGAGCUUGCUCUCGGGUGACGAGUGGCGGACGGGUGAGUAAUGUCUGGGAAACUGCCCGAUGGAGGGGGAUAACUACUGGAAACGGUAGCUAAUACCGCAUAACGUCGCAAGACCAAAGUGGGGGACCUUCGGGCCUCACACCAUCGGAUGUGCCCAGAUGGGAUUAGCUAGUAGGUGGGGUAAUGGCUCACCUAGGCGACGAUCCCUAGCUGGUCUGAGAGGAUGACCAGCCACACUGGAACUGAGACGCGGUCCAGACUCCUACGGGAGGCAGCAGUGGGGAAUAUUGCACAAUGGGCGCAAGCCUGAUGCGGCCAUGCCGCGUGUAUGAAGAAGGCCUUCGGGUUGUAAAGUACUUUCAGCGGGGAGGAAGGCGGUGGAGUUAAUAACCUCAGCAAUUGACGUUACCCGCAGAAGAAGCACCGGCUAACUCCGUGCCAGCCGCCGCAGUAA